This is a long non-coding RNA of Apis cerana (Asiatic honeybee), 646 nucleotides long. RefSeq lists it as uncharacterized. Lineage: Eukaryota; Metazoa; Arthropoda; Insecta; Hymenoptera; Apidae. The record is from RefSeq and is a predicted model, not a curated record.
CGGCAUGUGAGAUGGUCUCCUAGUAAUCAUUGAAGGACUCACUGUUUCGUCGUGAUACAUUUUUAUACUUGGACCUUCCGAAUAUUUUCCCAUGCCACUGGUGUCUCUUGUUGGAAGUCGAAUUAGAAUCGUGUAAACCUAGAUUUUUUGUAAUCGUGGUUAUCAGCGAUACUAAUGGCUCUCUCAACAGUUAACGUGGUAGGAUGAAUUCCACUUAAAGAGGCAGAUCGAGAAACCGUACCAGUAAGAGGGGUUUCCGCUGACAAUGGCGUUAUGGCUUCGUCAUAACCGUGUGUAGCACGACUGCUCUCAGCUCCCUCGAUAUCCUCUUCUUCGUCAUCGUCUUCGCGACCACUAUGCCACCACGCGAUGCACCACAUCUUUAACCACAUCCACGAAAAUGAUAAGAGACUGCGAUAUGUGUCGCGUUCACGUCUUCGACUCCUGUGCUCGAUUCGCUUCUAGGCCUCCUGCAGUCCUCCAUGUCUAACGCUUCAUCGCUAUUUAUAAGAAAAGAAAUAAUUAGAUGGGUUAUCUAUCUCUUUUCAUUUUUUGAGUUAUUAACUCGUUGUAUUUGUUAAUACGUUGUACAUGUGUACAAAUAUAAAUUUUAAAAUAACUUAGAAUUAAAAAAAAAUAGAUAUUA